Mytilus trossulus (common blue mussel) is the source of this 654-nucleotide long non-coding RNA. RefSeq lists it as uncharacterized. NCBI's taxonomy places the organism in Eukaryota, Metazoa, Mollusca, Bivalvia, Mytilida, Mytilidae. The record is from RefSeq and is a predicted model, not a curated record. The transcript has 3 exons.
CAUACAUUAUCAUGUCAUAGUAUUAUCGUUCGUAUAAAUAUUCAUCAAUAGAAAAUUGCCACCAUAAAAAAAUCUCAGAGCGAUAAGAGAAUGGUAAAUCGCGUGAUUACCGUAUGUUUACAACUAUAUUUGAUCUUCAUGACUGCCGAUAAAAGCAAUGGAUCAUUUCUUAAUGACGAAGUAAUAUACACUAAAAAGGAUAGCAUAUGGACUUUCAAACCUUUCAUCAACAGAGCACUAGGGAAAAGGAAUUAUGAUGGCGUUUUCCGUCUUUCACAAGAAAACCCGCUGGACAUACCUGUCAACAACUAUGAUACUGAUUUAUAUGAAAGCCAGCCAGUACAGAAGCGGUUAGAGUCUAGACGAAAAGUCUAUUUUUUUCGUUCACUUCCAGCGUUAAUAUAUUUUCUUAGAACUAAUUCGCGAUAUUUACAACGUGGUUUAAGAUUUUAGAUGUGUUUUUAACAGAAUAUCUUAUGAAUGCUACUGUUUCUAUAUUUGUAACAGUUAUAAAGUUAAGGCUUAUGGUGAAUAAUAAGCAAUACAACAGCCACAUCUGCUAUUUGUGUUUGCAGACAAACAAUUUCCUAAUACUUCUAUGUGUUUUACUUUUAAACCGUUUAGACAUUUUAAUAAAUAUGGACAUGAAUUUGA